Molecule: long non-coding RNA, 1632 nt
Organism: Dermacentor silvarum
Lineage: Eukaryota; Metazoa; Arthropoda; Arachnida; Ixodida; Ixodidae
Exons: 3
Source: RefSeq, a predicted model, not a curated record
CCGAUCCCAGCGGCCAGUUUCACGACGCCACCGCUGCCGCGGUGCAUGCUGGUACUUGUAGUCAUCUGGCCGCUCCAGCCGCCCGGAGUGCAUGUGCGUCCUGUUUCCAAACGAUUUUUGGACAUUUUUAUGGUUCGUGUAAAGCCAUCGUGCGAUGGGAGGAUUGGCCUGCUGCGUUUCUGGAUGCUACAACAACGACACAAGGGACAAAGGCUUCGGAUUCUAUGUGUUUUCUAAAGAGCGAAAGCUUCGAGAGACGUGGAUCCAACGGAUUAAUAGGUGGUACUGGUAAUACACAACGCGAGAUGAAACACGGGGACGAAUGGCGGCCGCAUUUCGAUGCGGGCAAAAUGCGAAAACACCCGUGUACUUAGAUUUCCCAGGAUUUAUAGAUUAUUUGUCGAUUAUCGAUUAGCUAUGGAUUAGCUAUUGAUGAGAUAUUGCAAGGUAUUGGCCACGUAUUUGGGCUAGGCUAAGCACUACCAAGUCAUGCCCAGCAUUUUCCGGAAUUUAUUGAUUAUUGAUCGAUUAUCGAUUAGCUAUUGAUUGGCUAUCGAUUGGCUAUCGCAAGGUAUUGGCCACGUAUUUGGGCUAGGCUAAGCACUACCAAGUCAUGCCCAGCAUUUUCCGGAAUUUAUUGAUCAUUGAUCGAUUAGCUAUUUAUUGGCUAUCGAUUGGCUAUCGCAAGGUAUUGGCCACGUAUUUGGGCUAGGCUAAGCACUACCAAGUCAUCCCCAGCAUUGCCCGAAAUUUAUUGAUUAUUGAUCGAUUAUUGAUUAGCUAUUGAUUGGCUAUCGAUAGCCUAUCGCAAUGUAUUGAUCACGUAUUUGGGCUAGGCUAAGAACUACCAAGUCAUGCCUAGCAUUUUCCGGAAUUUAUUGAUUACUGAUCAAUUAGCUAUUGAUGUGCUAUCGAUUGGCUAUCACAAGGUAUUGGCUACUUAUUUGGGCUAGGCUAAGCACUGCCAAGUCAUCCCCCAAGUUUUCCGGAAUUUAUUGAUUAUUGAUCGAUUCUCGAUUAGCUAUUGAUUGGCUAUCGAUGACUUGGCGAUGAUUGGCUAUCGGUAUUUUUAUGUUAAAAACGCCACCUAGCUUACCUAAGAACUUCUAGAUGUCACUGUUACCGAAGUCUGCAAGUCGUGCGCGAAACCCAUGUAGGUAAGCAUCAUUAGGCCACGAAAGUUUCGGCGCCGCAUUUCAAACCGGUUUCCAACAGGUAUACAAAUCCUAUUAUGUCUGUCGCUAAGCAAACAUAACGUUGCAAUCACCGAGAUGCACGUGUGCAAAAAUAGUAAAGCAAAACGACCGUGUACAUCAGCAUGUACUACAUACAAAGCUCGAACAAAUACGAUGCUCGACGUGUAAUCAGCGGGUAACAACAGAAAUGAAAGAGCAGCAGGCACUCUUCAACGUUCGCCUCACAUGAUGCAAUGAACAGCCAAUGUAACUUGUUAACUUACAUGAAGAAUUUUUCUUGGUGGUGGAGUCGCAGAGAUGUCCGGGAAGCUCGUACGCAGUACUCAACGAGCGGGUAAUGCGGUGGUGGGGUUGACCAGUUGACUACAACCAACAUGGUGGCAUUGCUACUUCCGGAAAACCGGCGCAUGCGCAGAUCGGUUGGUGAUUUCGGUCU